This 66-nucleotide transfer RNA is filed under the name Pseudolimnophila brunneinota. RNAcentral's name for it is "tRNA-Leu". The record is from RNAcentral. Lineage: Eukaryota; Metazoa; Arthropoda; Insecta; Diptera; Limoniidae.
UUUAAUAUGGCAGAUUAGUGCAAUGGAUUUAAGCCCCAUAUAUAAAGAAUUUUACUUUUAUUAAAA